This 262-nucleotide ribosomal RNA is filed under the name uncultured bacterium. Its description in RNAcentral is "partial 16S ribosomal RNA". It matches the Rfam family "Bacterial small subunit ribosomal RNA", at positions 57 to 305 of the family's 1533-position model. The record is from RNAcentral.
GCAAGUCGAGCGAGAACGGCUCCUUCGGGAGGAUAGUAAAGCGGCGAACGGGUGAGGAACACGUUAGCGAUCUACCCGGCGGCGGGGGAUAACUAAGGGAAACUUGAGCUAAUACCGCAUACAUCACUGGCUUGGAAGCUGGAUGUGAAAGCUGGCCUCUCGAAGAAGCUGGCACCGUCGGAUGAGCUCGCGGCCUAUCAGCUAGUUGGUGGGGUAACGGCCUACCAAGGCGAUGACGGGUAGCUGGCGUGAGAGCGUGGGC